GCCCCCAUAGCUCAGUUGGUAGAGCAUUCGCCUAGAUAGCGAAAGGCCCCCAGUUCAAGCCUGGGUGGAGGCA
Molecule: transfer RNA, 73 nt
Filed under: Phlebotomus papatasi
Lineage: Eukaryota; Metazoa; Arthropoda; Insecta; Diptera; Psychodidae
Description: tRNA tRNA-Ser
Rfam family: tRNA
About the family: Transfer RNA (tRNA) molecules are approximately 80 nucleotides in length. Their secondary structure includes four short double-helical elements and three loops (D, anti-codon, and T loops).
Source: RNAcentral